GACCCUAAAAAGUCCCGAAAGCA
This 23-nucleotide transfer RNA is filed under the name Acanthurus guttatus (whitespotted surgeonfish). RNAcentral's name for it is "partial tRNA-Phe". Lineage: Eukaryota; Metazoa; Chordata; Actinopteri; Acanthuriformes; Acanthuridae. The record is from RNAcentral.